CCAUGGAGCUUUAAACUCACUGUACACCUCUAUGUUCCUAUAUCCUUAUAACACAAGAAACCUGUACAUUAGUUUUAGGUUGGGGGGACCACGGAGUACAACUUAACCUCCAUAACAAAUGGGCUAACACCCUUAUCCACGAGACACAACUCUAAGAAUUAAUAGACUAAUGCUUAUGACCCGAUAUUCGAUCAAUGAACCAAGUUA
Molecule: ribosomal RNA, 207 nt
Filed under: Rana huanrensis (Huanren brown frog)
Lineage: Eukaryota; Metazoa; Chordata; Amphibia; Anura; Ranidae
Description: partial 16S ribosomal RNA
Source: RNAcentral